GAUGAACGCUGGCGGCGUGCCUAAUACAUGCAAGUCGAGCGAACGGACGAGAAGCUUGCUUCUCUGAUGUUAGCGGCGGACGGGUGAGUAACACGUGGAUAACCUACCUAUAAGACUGGGAUAACUUCGGGAAACCGGAGCUAAUACCGGAUAAUAUUUUGAACCGCAUGGUUCAAAAGUGAAAGACGGUCUUGCUGUCACUUAUAGAUGGAUCCGCGCUGCAUUAGCUAGUUGGUAAGGUAACGGCUUACCAAGGCAACGAUGCAUAGCCGACCUGAGAGGGUGAUCGGCCACAUUGGAACUGAGACACGGUCCUGGCUCCUACGGGAGGCAGCAGUAGGGAAUCUUCCGCAAUGGGCGAAAGCCUGGCGGAGCAACGCCGCGUGAGUGAUGAAGGUCUUCGGAUCGUAAAACUCUGUUAUUAGGUAAGAACAUAUUUGUAAGUAACUGUGCACAUCUUGACGGUACCUAAUCAGAAAGCCACGGCUAACUACGUG
This 497-nucleotide ribosomal RNA is filed under the name uncultured bacterium. RNAcentral describes it as "partial 16S ribosomal RNA". It matches the Rfam family "Bacterial small subunit ribosomal RNA", at positions 28 to 507 of the family's 1533-position model. The record is from RNAcentral.